GAGACUGAGAAAUAGCAGCUCUAGAGACAUCACAAGCUGUAGACGUUGCCUCAUUAUUCCCAAGAGUUUCAGGAGAGAAGUACUUCUUCCUGUGCUUCGAAUAGAUAAAAUACUGACCUGCUGGAAGUGAGAAACAUAUUUUUUAAUGUCUUGAAGCUUUUAUGCUUUUUUUUUUUACCUUGCUUAGGAUGGAGAAAAAUGAGGAACAGAGCAUACAACGUGCCUGAUGGAAUACAGUCCCCGAUGUUGAUCACACAGCUCACUACAUCCUUUUGAGCCAAGAAGAGAAGUGGGGUGGAUUCUUCUACUCAGUUUCUGGUGAAAGAAGAGCAAAGCAGUCAAGCGAUUACUCAAAAGUACCAGAGAAAAUUAGUGAUGGUGUUGAAGCAAUUUCACAUUCAAAAUGAAGGGACCCAAUGCCCCAAAAGACAAGAACUCUUUCUGGGGAUCUAACAGCACAACGGAAAUGAAGGCGGAUGUGUCCCACUGUUCCCCAGCAGGCUUCCUCAUCAGGGACCUGAGAGGAAGGUCAGGAGAGCUGGAUGUGUAUGGGAGCCUCAUCUGGAACUUUCCUCUUCUGUGGAAGGCCUGAAGCUUUGUCCUCCCCGUCCCUGAUGCCUCUUUCUCAGCCUGAGUAGAAGGUAUUACUCCUCUGUUCUUGUGCUCUGUGAAAGUUUUGUUCUUGCUACACAAACAGAUGUCAUCAUGUAAGCGUUCUACCUUGACACUCCC
RNAcentral lists this long non-coding RNA (732 nucleotides) under Fukomys damarensis (Damara mole-rat). Its description in RNAcentral is "lncRNA (ENSFDAG00000030933.1)". The record is from RNAcentral. Lineage: Eukaryota; Metazoa; Chordata; Mammalia; Rodentia; Bathyergidae.